UGAAAUGAUGCCAGGAUGUUACUGGAAUCC
RNAcentral lists this non-coding RNA (30 nucleotides) under Mus musculus (house mouse). The record is from RNAcentral. Lineage: Eukaryota; Metazoa; Chordata; Mammalia; Rodentia; Muridae.